GGGAAGGUGGCUCAGUAGUAGAGUGCUUGCCUUGCAUGCAUGAGGGCCUGGGUUCGAUUCCUCACCACCACG
This 72-nucleotide transfer RNA is filed under the name Dipodomys ordii (Ord's kangaroo rat). It matches the Rfam family "tRNA". From Rfam's summary of the family: Transfer RNA (tRNA) molecules are approximately 80 nucleotides in length. Their secondary structure includes four short double-helical elements and three loops (D, anti-codon, and T loops). The record is from Rfam by way of RNAcentral. Lineage: Eukaryota; Metazoa; Chordata; Mammalia; Rodentia; Heteromyidae.